RNAcentral lists this ribosomal RNA (253 nucleotides) under uncultured bacterium. Its description in RNAcentral is "partial 16S ribosomal RNA". It matches the Rfam family "Bacterial small subunit ribosomal RNA", at positions 524 to 776 of the family's 1533-position model. The record is from RNAcentral.
UACAGAGGGUGCGAGCGUUAUUCGGAUUUACUGGGCGUAAAGCGUGCGUAGGUGGUUUGAUAAGUCUGAUGUGAAAUCCCACGGCUCAACCGUGGACGUGCAUUGGAUACUGUCAAACUAGAGUACAGGAGGGGUGAGCGGAAUUCCAGGUGGAGAGGUGAAAUUCGUAGAUAUCUGGAGGAACAACGGAGGCGAAGGCGGCUCACUGGACUGUAACUGACACUCUGGCACGAAAGCGUGGGGAUCGAACAGG